This 75-nucleotide transfer RNA is filed under the name Gammaproteobacteria bacterium. RNAcentral describes it as "tRNA-Thr". It matches the Rfam family "tRNA". Rfam says of the family: Transfer RNA (tRNA) molecules are approximately 80 nucleotides in length. RNAcentral also lists the same sequence under 2 other names. The record is from RNAcentral. Lineage: Bacteria; Pseudomonadati; Pseudomonadota; Gammaproteobacteria.
GCCGACAUAGCUCAGGGGCAGAGCACUUCCUUGGUAAGGAAGAGGUCCCGGGUUCAAAUCCCGGUGUCGGCUCCA